UUUACAAGCCAUGAGAGGGCUUGUACACAUGGGAAUGUAUACAUGGGAAUGUGCCUCAGAGGGUUGCCAAAGCAUACAGUGGCUACAUGGUGAAAGAUAAUGUUUGUACAGGAGAGAAGCUCCUGCAUGUUCUCUUUGCUGAUAGCAAAGUCAUUCUGAUUGAGAUCUGCGUAAAUAGCUCUGAUCUUCUCAUGCACAUAUGGACAAAUUUCUUUGACUUUCUCAAAUAGCUGAAACAUAAAUGUAGAUCAAUAUACAAAGAAUAGCAUCAUCAUUAUCACAUUGUUCUUCUUUAUAAUAACCUGUUUAAUUACACUCAAAAGCUGGUUUUAGUUGUAAUAUUACUUAAAGAAGACGUCUGGCUGGGCAUGGUCGCUCAUGCCUAUAAUGCCAGCACUUUGGGAAGCCAAAGCAGGUGGAUCACUUGAGCCCAGGAGUUCGACACCAGCCUGGGCAACUUGGUUUGUGUGGACUAUUUUACUUUGGCUUGUGAUGAUUUCUGACUAGGAAAACAAGAAGUAGGAGAUGAUUUCAGUAUCCACCCUUCUCACAGUGGGGUUCCUUACACAUGAUAAUCUGAUGCCUACCAGAGGAAACUCUAACCCAGACAGGAAAGUUCUUCAGAGUAAAAAUCAAGAAGGGUGAGAGUAGCUAUACAAUACAAGUAAGCCUUGGCCUGGACCCAGACAAGAUCAUUGCACAAGAGAUUGGUUUUGGAAGUAGAUUUGGCUGAGAUUAAAGUCUCGAGUGACAGGAAGACAAUGUUAAAGAUAAAUCCAAAUUCUUCUUUAUUGCUUGACACUUCUCCAAUCAGCAUCGACUUCAUUCCUGGUAAGUUGGUGUAGCAUGAAUGAGUUAUAAAGCCAAAGACCUCAAGAAAAGCACACUCCUUAACAGCCAGUUCAGAGGUGACAGCCAGGGAAUAAGAAAUAAGAACCUUCCAGAGGAUACAGCCACCACCAAAAAUGAUGGAAAAGAGGGUUCCUCCCAGAGAGUAGAUUCAGGGGCUAUUUAAGGAAUUUCCCCAUGCCCAGUGUAGGGAGCUUCUCACUACUUGCUACUCAGGAUUUCCUUAUGGUUAUAAUCUAGGGACUGCUGCUUGCCUGCUUGUCUUCUCUUUCUUGCAUAGCAGGUUUCUUUAUUUGUUUAAUUUUAAUUUUUUAUUCAAUUAUGGUGGUCUUUUCACUGUUCUACCAUGACAAGAGGUAGAACAGAGAUAUUUUUUACCUCUACAUGGAAGGCAGAAAAUUGGCCUUUUUAUUCAAGAAUGCCAAACCAGAAGCUGACAUAUCAGAAUCUGAUACAGAGGAUAGCCUAUUCCCCUUUGGACUUUGGACCUUGGACUUUUGAACUGGAUGCAAUAACAGUAUGAGACCCUUGGGUAGGAAUGAGUGUCUUGUAUGUGUGGGAAAGACAGGAAGGCAGGUAUUUGGUGACCUAAAAAGAAGGCCAUGGCAGAACUUCAUUAGUUGUUCAAUAAUCCUAUUUUUCCUUUCCUCCUGGGCACACAGCUAUGUAUUUUCCAGCCAUCCUCAUACUUAAGAUGUAGCCCAGUGACACUUCUGAGGGUGGAAUAUGGACAGAUGUGAUGGGCACUGCUGGACCUGGACCAUAAAAUCCUUCCACAUGAUGUCAGUGCCUCUUUUACCCCAUUGGCAGCUGGAUAUUGUCAUCCAGAGAGUUGGAUGACUUAGAAGCCAUGUGCAGAAGAUGGCAGCCUUCCACCAGCAUGGAUCCUUGAGUGACUGUGGAGUGCAACGCCUUCUUCCAGUUAGAACUACUGUGAUUGACAAUCACAUUUCAUUUGUAUUAAGCUACUGAUUUGGGGGGUUUAUCUCCUUCAGCUCCCACAUUAGUACAACUCAUGCAGAACAGAGAGUGACUGUGAACACAUGUGGCACAGGCUGGUGAAACCUAGGACUUUAUAGAUGAAUUUCUGAUUAUACUCUCCUUCCUUGCAAAAAGCUUUUUUCAAAUUAAAUGUUGUAAUAU
This 1992-nucleotide non-coding RNA is filed under the name Pongo abelii (Sumatran orangutan). Lineage: Eukaryota; Metazoa; Chordata; Mammalia; Primates; Hominidae. The record is from RNAcentral.